This 476-nucleotide ribosomal RNA is filed under the name uncultured anaerobic ammonium-oxidizing bacterium. RNAcentral describes it as "bacterial SSU rRNA". It matches the Rfam family "Bacterial small subunit ribosomal RNA", at positions 365 to 832 of the family's 1533-position model. The record is from RNAcentral.
UUCGCAAUGCCCGAAAGGGUGACGAUGCGACGCCGCGUGAGCGAAGAAGGCCCUAGGGUUGUAAAGCUCUGUCGAGGGUUAUGAAAUAUAGAUGGGUUAAUACCCCAUUUAUUUGACAAAAGCCCAAAAGGAAGCCACGGCUAACUCUGUGCCAGCAGCCGCGGUAAUACAGAGGUGGCGAGCGUUGUUCGGAAUUAUUGGGCGUAAAGAGCACGUAGGCGGCCCUGCAAGUCAGUUGUGAAAGCCUUCCGCUUAACGGGAGAACGGCAGCUGAAACUACGGGGCUAGAGUACGGGAGGGGAGAGUGGAACUUCUGGUGGAGCGGUGAAAUGCGUAGAUAUCAGAAGGAACGCCGGCGGCGAAAGCGACUCUCUGGACCGAAACUGACGCUGAGGUGCGGAAGCUAGGGGAGCAAACGGGAUUAGGUACCCCGGUAGUCCUAGCCGUAAACGAUGGGCACUAAGUAGAGGGGUUUU